AGCUAUGGCCACACACGCUAACCCACUGCAUCCCGUCCGAUCUGCACAGUUAAACAGUUUAGCAUAAUCAGUACUAUGGGGAACCACAAGGGAAUACUAUGUGCUGUAGUUU
This 112-nucleotide ribosomal RNA is filed under the name Linnemannia elongata AG-77. Lineage: Eukaryota; Fungi; Mortierellomycota; Mortierellomycetes; Mortierellales; Mortierellaceae. The record is from RNAcentral.